Molecule: ribosomal RNA, 253 nt
Filed under: uncultured bacterium
Lineage: Bacteria
Description: partial 16S ribosomal RNA
Rfam family: Bacterial small subunit ribosomal RNA
Source: RNAcentral
UACGUAGGGACCAAGCGUUGUUCGGAUUUACUGGGCGUAAAGGGCGCGUAGGCGGCAAUUCAAGUCAUCUGUGAAAUCUCCGGGCUUAACUCGGAACGGUCAGAUGAUACUGCUUUGCUAGAGUGCGGAAGGGGCAAUCGGAAUUCUUGGUGUAGCGGUGAAAUGCGUAGAUAUCGAGAGGAACACCUGCGGCGAAGGCGGGUUGCUGGGCCGACACUGACGCUGAAGCGCGAAAGCUAGGGGAGCAAACGGG